Non-coding RNA from Coffea arabica (coffee), 292 nucleotides. The record is from RefSeq and is a predicted model, not a curated record. NCBI's taxonomy places the organism in Eukaryota, Viridiplantae, Streptophyta, Magnoliopsida, Gentianales, Rubiaceae.
UAAAAUGCUUGUUUGAGACCUAUUGCGCUUGUUUGACUAGGAUUUGAGACCAAAGGUGCUCGGAAGUAGUACUAGAUUGUUUACUUUCAUGAAUGUAAUUCGAGUUAAACAUUGUAGUUUUGCCUUAGGUUGCCACUUGAAGCUGGAAAAGUGUAAACCCUGGAUUUGUAUGUGGCUUGUAUGAAUUUGUUACUUGGCUUGUAAGGAUGUAUUUGAAUUGAUGUUUUGUUUCUUGGGUUGUAUUCGGGAAGGUAUUUUAAGAAUCGAUGUUGGCUAUCUUAAGGCACUGUUA